Molecule: ribosomal RNA, 429 nt
Filed under: Pseudomonadota bacterium
Lineage: Bacteria; Pseudomonadati; Pseudomonadota
Description: Proteobacteria bacterium partial 16S ribosomal RNA
Rfam family: Bacterial small subunit ribosomal RNA
Source: RNAcentral
UGGGAAAUAUUGGACAAUGGGCGAAAGCCUGAUCCAGCCAUGCCGCGUGUGUGAAGAAGGUCUUCGGAUUGUAAAGCACUUUAAGUUGGGAGGAAGGGCAGUAAGCGAAUACCUUGCUGUUUUGACGUUACCGACAGAAUAAGCACCGGCUAACUCUGUGCCAGCAGCCGCGGUAAUACAGAGGGUGCAAGCGUUAAUCGGAAUUACUGGGCGUAAAGCGCGCGUAGGUGGUUCGUUAAGUUGAAUGUGAAAGCCCCGGGCUCAACCUGGGAACUGCAUCCAAAACUGGCGAGCUAGAGUAGGGCAGAGGGUGGUGGAAUUUCCUGUGUAGCGGUGAAAUGCGUAGAUAUAGGAAGGAACACCAGUGGCGAAGGCGACCAACUGAGCUCAUACUGACACUGAGGUGCGAAAGCGUGGGGAGCAAACAGG